This 431-nucleotide ribosomal RNA is filed under the name uncultured bacterium. Its description in RNAcentral is "bacterial SSU rRNA". It matches the Rfam family "Bacterial small subunit ribosomal RNA", at positions 347 to 793 of the family's 1533-position model. The record is from RNAcentral.
GGCAGCAGUGGGGAAUAUUGCACAAUGGGCGCAAGCCUGAUGCAGCAACGCCGUGUGAGUGAAGAAGGUUUUCGGAUCGUAAAACUCUGUCCUAAGGGAAGAAACAAAUGACGGUACCUUAGGAGGAAGCCCCGGCUAACUACGUGCCAGCAGCCGCGGUAAUACGUAGGGGGCAAGCGUUAUCCGGAAUCACUGGGCGUAAAGGGUGCGUAGGCGGCUUAGCAAGCCAGGGGUGAAAGGCAUUGGCUCAACCAAUGUAAGCCUUUGGAACUGUUAAGCUUGAGUGCAGGAGAGGUAAGUGGAAUUCCUAGUGUAGAGGUGAAAUUCGUAGAUAUUAGGAGGAACACCAGUGGCGAAGGCGACUUACUAAACUGUAACUGACGCUGAUGCACGAAAGCGUGGGGAUCGAACAGGAUUAGAUACCCUGGUAG